This 789-nucleotide ribosomal RNA is filed under the name uncultured bacterium. RNAcentral's name for it is "bacterial SSU rRNA". It matches the Rfam family "Bacterial small subunit ribosomal RNA", at positions 1 to 795 of the family's 1533-position model. The record is from RNAcentral.
UAGAGUUUGAUCCUGGCUCAGGAUGAACGCUGGCGGCGUGCUUAACACAUGCAAGUCGAACGAAGCAUUAGAACGGAUUACUUCGGUUUGAAGUUCUAUCUGACUGAGUGGCGGACGGGUGAGUAACGCGUGGGUAACCUGCCUCAUACAGGGGGAUAACAGUUAGAAAUGACUGCUAAUACCGCAUAAGCGCACGGUUUCGCAUGGAACAGUGUGAAAAACUCCGGUGGUAUGAGAUGGACCCGCGUCUGAUUAGCUGGUUGGCGGGGUAACGGCCCACCAAGGCGACGAUCAGUAGCCGGCCUGAGAGGGUGAACGGCCACAUUGGGACUGAGACACGGCCCAAACUCCUACGGGAGGCAGCAGUGGGGAAUAUUGCACAAUGGGGGAAACCCCGAUGCAGCGACGCCGCGUGAAGGAAGAAGUAUUUCGGUAUGUAAACUUCUAUCAGCAGGGAAGAAAAUGACGGUACCUGACUAAGAAGCCCCGGCUAACUACGUGCCAGCAGCCGCGGUAAUACGUAGGGGGCAAGCGUUAUCCGGAUUUACUGGGUGUAAAGGGAGCGUAGGCGGUAAUGCAAGUCAGAAGUGAAAGCCCGGGGCUCAACUCCGGGACUGCUUUUGAAACUGUGUUGCUAGAUUGCAGGAGAGGUAAGUGGAAUUCCUAGUGUAGCGGUGAAAUGCGUAGAUAUUAGGAGGAACACCAGUGGCGAAGGCGGCUUACUGGACUGUAAAUGACGCUGAGGCUCGAAAGCGUGGGGAGCAAACAGGAUUAGAUACCCUGGUAGUC